GCCCUCGUAGCUCAAUGGACAGAGCGAGACUCUUCUAAAGUCAAGAUAUAGGUUCGAUUCCUGUCGAGGGCA
RNAcentral lists this transfer RNA (72 nucleotides) under Parcubacteria group bacterium CG1_02_41_26. Its description in RNAcentral is "tRNA-Arg". It matches the Rfam family "tRNA". Rfam says of the family: Transfer RNA (tRNA) molecules are approximately 80 nucleotides in length. Their secondary structure includes four short double-helical elements and three loops (D, anti-codon, and T loops). RNAcentral also lists the same sequence under 2 other names. The record is from RNAcentral.